UACGAAGGGGGCUAGCGUUGCUCGGAAUCACUGGGCGUAAAGCGCACGUAGGCGGACUCUUAAGUCGGUGGUGAAAUCCUGGAGCUCAACUCCAGAACUGCCUUCGAUACUGAGAGUCUUGAGUCCGGGAGAGGUGAGUGGAACUGCGAGUGUAGAGGUGAAAUUCGUAGAUAUUCGCAAGAACACCAGUGGCGAAGGCGGCUCACUGGCCCGGUACUGACGCUGAGGUGCGAAAGCGUGGGUAGCAAACAGG
Molecule: ribosomal RNA, 253 nt
Filed under: uncultured bacterium
Lineage: Bacteria
Description: partial 16S ribosomal RNA
Rfam family: Bacterial small subunit ribosomal RNA
Source: RNAcentral